RNAcentral lists this ribosomal RNA (397 nucleotides) under uncultured bacterium. RNAcentral's name for it is "bacterial SSU rRNA". It matches the Rfam family "Bacterial small subunit ribosomal RNA", at positions 360 to 772 of the family's 1533-position model. The record is from RNAcentral.
AAUUUUGCGCAAUGGGGGAAACCCUGACGCAGCAACGCCGCGUGAUUGAUGAAGCCCUUCGGGGUGUAAAGAUCUGUCAGUGGGGACGAAAGAAUGACGGUACCCACAGAGGAAGCACCGGCUAACUCCGUGCCAGCAGCCGCGGUAAUACGGAGGGUGCAAGCGUUGUCCGGAAUCAUUGGGCGUAAAGCGUUCGUAGGCGGUAUAUCAAGUCUGGUGUUAAAGGCAGAGGCUCAACCUCUGUAGGGCACUGGAUACUGGUAAACUGGAAUGCGGUAGAGGUUAAGGGAAUUCCUGGUGUGGCGGUGAAAUGCGUAGAUAUCAGGAGGAACAUCGGUGGCGUAAGCGCUUAACUGGGCCGUAAUUGACGCUGAGGAACGAAAGCCGGGGGAGCAAA